AAUACUCACUGUCAUAGGCACCCAUUCUAGUCUGGAUCUUAUCCACCGGGCUCAAUUUCGCUUCACUAGCGGGCACAUAGCAUCCCAACUGUGCCAUAAUAACUCCUGCGGCAGUCAUUCUCAAUAGCGUGCUUUUACCCGCCAUAUUCGGACCUGUCAACAACACUUGCCUAGGCUGUUCUCCACCGAGCUGAACGUCGUUUGAAAUAAAAUCGGAGCGCAGGCACAUGGAUGGGUGUCGGAGGUCACGAAAGUCGAUAAAUGCAGAGGACGAGGAAACAAAUGUAGGUCGGCACUUGGGUUCAUCCAUGUCGGAAGACGCUUUAGCAAGGGACACGAGGCAGUCCAGCUCAGCGACCACUCGAACAGUGGUAAGCCAUGUUUCACGGUCCUUGCUGAACUCCUCCAUAAGGUGUUUGAAAAAAUUCUUCUUGGCGGCUGCUUGGGUCUCACGAGCUUCCUGAAUCUGCCUGAUGACUGGAAUAGUCUCGGGGGUAUAGUACCUGUUGUGGCUCUGCGUAACCAUCAGUUGCCAAGUUCAUAUCCAGAUGAGACGACAGAUGGCAUACCUUGGUACCACUAGCCUUUGUCCACCUAGCAGGCGCCUUGACACUUGCUGGGAGUUGGAUUUGGAAGAUCUCCUUACCCCCUUGAGCACUGUGCCAGAAUACUGCUUCCUUGCACCUGUUUCUUGAUUAGCAGCCGCCUUCGCUGAUUAUUACGUAUGACAUACUUUAGAGUCUUUUUGACAUGUUCAAGAGUAUCGUUCAACUCUUCCUCAAUACGUUCAACCUCUGCAUCCGCGGCAUCGCAUUCCUCAUCCGCGCCCGGGUUGGGAAGGAUAGCAAUCGUCUUCUCUACUCUCCAUUGUACAUCCCUCGAAUAUGUUUAAUCAUCCCACUCAAGUCUGGCGCACUCCUCAGCAGCGCCUUGACCCCCGUGGAUUCCAAGCUUUCAGACAUAUCGAUCAAGUUGUCAAUGCCUUUUUGGAGUUUUGAAAAUGACUCGACGACUUGGAGAAGGUCGGAUUGCUUGACAGAGCCGGCGUGAAUACGAGAGAUCAGACGCUAAAAAAAUUGUCAGUAGAACACUGAUGCAAUGAAAGAACGGCUUACCUCAAGAUCGGGAAGUCCUUUACAAAGCUGGGUGAAAUCACCCGAGAAUCUGGGAUGGUUCAUAAGGUCCUCAACCGCGUCCAAUCUGGCGUUGAUAGCAUCCGCAUCUCUCAACGGUGACCUCAACCAAACUUUGAACAAUCUCUUGCCUGAUGGAGAAACACAUCGCUGAAGAAGUUCGGCAAGAGUGCCUUCGGUACCACCCUCAUUGUUUACCAACACCUAUCUCCUUGUCAGUUGAUGGCGUGGGCGUUAAGAUGAUAUGCUUACUUCCAUGUGGCCGAGAGUCUUGCCGUCCAAGAUGAGGUUUUUACCCUCCUUGAUGGGAUCGUAAAUGUUAAAGUUGCGUUGAGAGAACAAGUCCUUGUCAAGAUUGAGUGACUUGAGGUAGAAAAGCAUUCCACCGAGAGACUCCAUCGCAAGGUCGUUGUCUUGAAGCGAGAUAAUGGCUUCUGGGAUGGCACCUUCACCUUCUUCGCUGGAAAAGAUGGAAGGGAGGAGGUUGAGUGUGUCUUCAGCAGUGUAAAAUUCCUUGCCGUCUUUAAAUGAUUGCCAGGCGGUGGACGAGGGGAGAAUAUUUCGAAGGAGUCGUGUAGUCAUGACAGACAAGUUGCCCUGUUGCGCAUUAGCCAUUGCCGCUCAGCUUGUAAAGAUGAACAUACCUUGGCG
This 1784-nucleotide small RNA is filed under the name Cryptococcus neoformans H99. Its description in RNAcentral is "Cryptococcus neoformans var. grubii H99 hypothetical RNA". The record is from RNAcentral. Lineage: Eukaryota; Fungi; Basidiomycota; Tremellomycetes; Tremellales; Cryptococcaceae.